AUUGCACUUGGAAGCAUUUUCAAGUAGGAAUCCUUUGUGGCCUGCGAACAGCAGCUUCUUUUCACCAAGGCUGUGGAAUUUUCAGAGGCUACUUGUUUUUUAGUUGUGAGCUACUACAUUUUUAACUUAGCUUAUACUGACCCUGUCACGACAACACUGGAAUUUCUUCAGAGGGAGAUGUUCAACGUAAACCCGGAAAGGGGCAGUAACUUGUCUAAUGGCCGCAAAUCAAGGACCACUGUGGACAACGGGAUAAUGAUGUUUGUGCAGCAGUUGCGCUGAAGAACUGAUGUUGUAAACCAUAAGACAUGGUGCGAUUGGCAAAAUAAAUUUCACCUGUAUAUGUUCAGAAUGGCUG
Rhipicephalus microplus (southern cattle tick) is the source of this 358-nucleotide long non-coding RNA. The record is from RefSeq and is a predicted model, not a curated record. NCBI's taxonomy places the organism in Eukaryota, Metazoa, Arthropoda, Arachnida, Ixodida, Ixodidae.